GACGAACGCUGGCGGCGUGCCUAAUACAUGCAAGUCGAGCGAAGUUUUUCUGGUGCUUGCACUAGAAAAACUUAGCGGCGAACGGGUGAGUAACACGUAAAGAACCUGCCUCAUAGACUGGGACAACUAUUGGAAACGAUAGCUAAUACCGGAUAACAGUAUUUCUCGCAUGAGAGAUAUUUAAAAGUUGGUUAUGCUAACACUAUGAGAUGGCUUUGCGGUGCAUUAGCUAGUUGGUGGGGUAAAGGCCCACCAAGGCGACGAUGCAUAGCCGACCUGAGAGGGUGAUCGGCCACACUGGGUCUGAGACACGGCCCAGACUCCUACGGGAGGCAGCAGUAGGGAAUCUUCCGCAAUGGGCGAAAGCCUGACGGAGCAACGCCGCGUGAGUGAAGAAGGAUUUCGGUUCGUAAAGCUCUGUUGUUAGGGAAGAAUGGAUAUGUAGUAACUAUACAUGUAAGAGACGGUACCUAACCAGAAAGCCACGGCUAACUACGUG
Molecule: ribosomal RNA, 499 nt
Filed under: uncultured bacterium
Lineage: Bacteria
Description: partial 16S ribosomal RNA
Rfam family: Bacterial small subunit ribosomal RNA
Source: RNAcentral